CAGUAGCCGCGGUAAUACGAAGGGUGCAAGCGUUAAUCGGAAUUACUGGGCGUAAAGCGUGCGUAGGCGGUUUGUUAAGUCUGCUGUGAAAUCCCCGGGCUCGACCUGGGAAUGGCAGUGGAUACUGGCAAGCUAGAGUGUGUCAGAGGAUGGUGGAAUUCCCGGUGUAGCGGUGAAAUGCGUAGAGAUCGGGAGGAACAUCAGUGGCGAAGGCGGCCAUCUGGGACAACACUGACGCUGAGGCACGAAAGCGUGGGGAGCAAACAGGAUUAGAUACCCCCGUAGUCCCUGUCUCUUAUAC
Molecule: ribosomal RNA, 301 nt
Filed under: uncultured bacterium
Lineage: Bacteria
Description: partial 16S ribosomal RNA
Rfam family: Bacterial small subunit ribosomal RNA
Source: RNAcentral